CGCGGGUGAUGGAGUGUCCGAAAUUUAACUCACGCGGGAACGGUGGGCCCAACGGACGAACUUCCCUUGACCCAUCUUUCCCUUCAUUCCAUGGGAACCUCAAAGGGGAAGGAAGCAGAGGAGGAGGAGGAGGAGGAGGAGAAAGAAGAAGAACGUUUCUUUUUUUCCUCCCAAGCCUCUCCAUCAAGUUUGGCUGCGGAGUGAUUCCCAGAAGGAGGAUUGCGUUCUUAAGAAGAAUUCCAGCUUCCAGUCGUUCGUUAUCUGGUCAUCCGAAGCAAAGGUUUUUUGCCCACACAAGUUCUGAUUCUAAUUUGUUCUCUUCUUUCUAUUGCCUUCUUCCAUGGUAUGCAAGUUGGUGGCCGUUGGGUUUGAUGAAGAGCCUAAAACUGUGAAUACUUCAUUCAUGCUGGUCCGUUGGGCGGUAGGGGUUUUGGGAAUUCGAAGGCAAUGGAGGACAGAGGCAGAGCCACUAUAUUUUUCAGGCUGAGGUGAGAAUCGGGACUUUAGUUUAUUAUUGGAAAGAAGUGAUCAUAUGUUGUUCAAGCCAAGAGGUAAAAAUCCAGUUAUAACGUGCAAGGCGACAAUUUCAUCAUCAGGAUAAGCAAAAUAAGGUUCAAGCUUAUGCCCACAAAGAACAAUUCCUUUCCAUAUAGUAAAAAGGAGAAAAGUUUUAAAAAGAAAAUAGUUGUCUGUAGUCUAUUCUGCAUGACAUAUGGUUAAGGUGGAAGGCCGUACUAUUGGAACCUAAUGACACUGAAAUAAAUGCUGCUUAAGCAUAGAUCUUUUUUUUUUUUUUUUUGGAAUAUGAAAAAAUCCUUGUGUACUUCUUUUGGGUGGUAUUUGUUUCUUGAAUGGACUAUCUUCUGACUAAA
Molecule: non-coding RNA, 872 nt
Organism: Elaeis guineensis (African oil palm)
Lineage: Eukaryota; Viridiplantae; Streptophyta; Magnoliopsida; Arecales; Arecaceae
Source: RefSeq, a predicted model, not a curated record